AUUGAACGCUGGCGGUAUGCUUAACACAUGCAAGUCGAACGGUAACAGGCCUUCGGGCGCUGACGAGUGGCGGACGGUGAGUAACGCGUAGGAAUCUGCCUCAUAGUGGGGACAACGUGGGGAAACUCACGCUAAUACCGCAUACGCCCUACGGGGGAAAGCGGGGGAUCUUCGGACCUCGCGCUAUGAGAUGAGCCUGCGUUAGAUUAGCUAGUUGGUAGGGUAAAGGCCUACCAAGGCGACGAUCUAUAGCUGGUCUGAGAGGACGAUCAGCCACACUGGGACUGAGACACGGCCCAGACUCCUACGGGAGGCAGCAGUGGGGAAUAUUGGACAAUGGGCGCAAGCCUGAUCCAGCAAUACCGCGUGUGUGAAGAAGGCCUUAGGG
This 388-nucleotide ribosomal RNA is filed under the name uncultured bacterium. Its description in RNAcentral is "bacterial SSU rRNA". It matches the Rfam family "Bacterial small subunit ribosomal RNA", at positions 30 to 422 of the family's 1533-position model. The record is from RNAcentral.